RNAcentral lists this ribosomal RNA (215 nucleotides) under uncultured bacterium. RNAcentral's name for it is "partial 16S ribosomal RNA". It matches the Rfam family "Bacterial small subunit ribosomal RNA", at positions 28 to 226 of the family's 1533-position model. The record is from RNAcentral.
GAUGAACGCUGGCGGCGUGCUUAACACAUGCAAGUCGAGCGAGAAAUCUUUAAACAAAUCUUCGGAAGCGUUUAAAGAUGGACAGCGGCGGACGGGUGAGUAACGCGUAGGCAACCUACCCUAUACAGAGGGAUAGCCUCGGGAAACCGGGAUUAAUACCUCAUAACACUUUAGCAUCGCAUGAUGCGAAAGUCAAAGAUUUAUCGGUAUGGGAU